Molecule: ribosomal RNA, 309 nt
Filed under: uncultured bacterium
Lineage: Bacteria
Description: bacterial SSU rRNA
Rfam family: Bacterial small subunit ribosomal RNA
Source: RNAcentral
GAUUAACGCUAGCGGCAGGCCUAAUACAUGCAAGUCGAACGGCAGCACGAAUAGCAAUAUUUGGUGGCGAGUGGCGCACGGGUGCGUAACGCGUAUGCAAUCUACCUAUAACUGGGGAAUAACCCCGAGAAAUCGGGGCUAAUACCGCAUAAUACUACUGAACGGCAUCGCUUGGUAGUCAAAUCUCCGGAGGUUAUAGAUGAGCAUGCGUGACAUUAGCUUGUUGGUGAGGUAACGGCUCACCAAGGCUACGAUGUCUAGGGGGUCUGAGAGGAUGAUCCCCCACACUGGUACUGAGACACGGACCAG